RNAcentral lists this ribosomal RNA (794 nucleotides) under uncultured bacterium. RNAcentral describes it as "bacterial SSU rRNA". It matches the Rfam family "Bacterial small subunit ribosomal RNA", at positions 8 to 796 of the family's 1533-position model. The record is from RNAcentral.
AGAGUUUGAUCCUGGCUCAGGAUGAACGCUAGCGGCAGGCUUAACACAUGCAAGUCGAGGGGCAGCACGGGUAGCAAUACUUGGUGGCGACCGGCGCAAGGGUGCGUAACGCGUGAGCAACAUGCCCGUAUCAGGGGGAUAAUCCAGGGAAACUUGGUCUAAUACCCCAUAGCAAUUAAAGGAGGCAUCUUUUUUAAUUUAAAGCUUUGGUGGAUACGGAUUGGCUCGCGUGACAUUAGCUAGAUGGUAAGGUAACGGCUUACCAUGGCUACGAUGUCUAGGGGUUCUGAGAGGAAGAUCCCCCACACUGGUACUGAGACACGGACCAGACUCCUACGGGAGGCAGCAGUAAGGAAUAUUGGGCAAUGGACGCAAGUCUGACCCAGCCAUGCCGCGUGAAGGAUGAAGGCCCUAUGGGUUGUAAACUUCUUUUAUACGGGAAAAAACCUUCGGUCGUGAACCGGAGCUGAUGGUACCGUAAGAAUAAGCAUCGGCUAACUCCGUGCCAGCAGCCGCGGUAAUACGGAGGAUGCAAGCGUUAUCCGGAUUCAUUGGGUUUAAAGGGUGCGCAGGCGGAGUGAUAAGUCAGUGGUGAAAUCCUACGGCUCAACUGUAGAACUGCCAUUGAUACUGUCAUUCUUGAGUACUGUUGAGGUGGGCGGAAUGUGUCAUGUAGCGGUGAAAUGCUUAGAUAUGACACAGAACACCGAUCGCGAAGGCAGCUCACCAAGCAGAAACUGACGCUCAUGCACGAAAGCGUGGGGAUCAAACAGGAUUAGAUACCCUGGUAGUCC